Molecule: ribosomal RNA, 491 nt
Filed under: uncultured bacterium
Lineage: Bacteria
Description: partial 16S ribosomal RNA
Rfam family: Bacterial small subunit ribosomal RNA
Source: RNAcentral
AGUGAACGCUGGCGGUAGGCCUAACACAUGCAAGUCGAACGGCAGCACAGUAAGAGCUUGCUCUUACGGGUGGCGAGUGGCGGACGGGUGAGGAAUACAUCGGAAUCUACUUUUUCGUGGGGGAUAACGUAGGGAAACUUACGCUAAUACCGCAUACGACCUACGGGUGAAAGCAGGGGAUCUUCGGACCUUGCGCGAUUGAAUGAGCCGAUGUCGGAUUAGCUAGUUGGCGGGGUAAAGGCGCACCAAGGCGACGAUCCGUAGCUGGUCUGAGAGGAUGAGCAGCCCCACUGGAGCUGAGACACGGUCCGGGCUCCUACGGGAGGCAGCAGUGGGGAGUGUUGGACAAUGGGCGCAAGCCUGAUCCAGCCAUACCGCGUGGGUGAAGAAGGCCUUCGGGUUGUAAAGCCCUUUUGUGGGGAAAGAAAAGCAGCAGGUUAAUACCCCGCUGUUCUGACGGUACCCAAAGAAUAAGCACCGGCUAACUUCGU